UUACGAAUCAAGAAAAGUUUCUGAACUUUUUUACAGCUGCUGUGUUGAAUCGAUUUGCUUAAGUUGCUCUUUUCUCAGUUUUCAGCAGUUGGGUCGAUUGUUAUAUACACACAUAUAUAUAUAUAUAUAGAGAGAGAGAGAGAGAGAGAUGAAGAAGCGCGUUCAUUUGACAGUUUCGUACAUUGAACUGAGUCAAAUGAAGUAUUGGUUAAAUUUCGGUUUUAAUCCCUUUACUAUGUUUAAAUCUGGU
RNAcentral lists this long non-coding RNA (250 nucleotides) under Gossypium barbadense (sea-island cotton). Its description in RNAcentral is "long non-coding RNA (GBAR_LNC014581)". The record is from RNAcentral. Lineage: Eukaryota; Viridiplantae; Streptophyta; Magnoliopsida; Malvales; Malvaceae.